UUGGAAGCCUGGCCAGUGGGAUCCUGGU
This 28-nucleotide non-coding RNA is filed under the name Homo sapiens (human). The record is from RNAcentral. Lineage: Eukaryota; Metazoa; Chordata; Mammalia; Primates; Hominidae.